RNAcentral lists this ribosomal RNA (439 nucleotides) under uncultured bacterium. RNAcentral's name for it is "partial 16S ribosomal RNA". It matches the Rfam family "Bacterial small subunit ribosomal RNA", at positions 339 to 795 of the family's 1533-position model. The record is from RNAcentral.
CUACGGGGGGCUGCAGUGGGGAAUAUUGCACAAUGGGGGGAACCCUGAUGCAGCAACGCCGCGUGGAGGAUGACGCAUUUCGGUGUGUAAACUCCUUUUAUAUGUCAAGAAAAUGACGGUAGCAUAUGAAUAAGCACCGGCUAACUCCGUGCCAGCAGCCGCGGUAAUACGGAGGGUGCAAGCGUUACUCGGAAUCACUGGGCGUAAAGGACGCGUAGGCGGGUUGGAAAGUCAGGUGUGAAAUCCUACAGCUUAACUGUAGAACUGCACUUGAAACUUCUAAUCUAGAGUAUGGGAGGGGGAGAUGGAAUUAGUGGUGUAGGGGUAAAAUCCGUAGAUAUCACUAGGAAUACCUAAAGCGAAGGCGAUCUCCUGGAACAUUACUGACGCUAAGGCGUGAAAGCGUGGGGAGCAAACCGGAUUAGAUACCCUCGUAGUC